UACGAAGGGGGCUAGCGUUGCUCGGAAUCACUGGGCGUAAAGCGCACGUAGGCGGAUCUUUAAGUCAGGGGUGAAAUCCUGGAGCUCAACUCCAGAACUGCCUUUGAUACUGAGGAUCUUGAGUCCGGGAGAGGUGAGUGGAACUCCGAGUGUAGAGGUGAAAUUUGUAGAUAUUCGGAAGAACACCAGUGGCGAAGGCGGCUCACUGGCCCGGUACUGACGCUGAGGUGCGAAAGCGUGGGGAGCAAACAGG
RNAcentral lists this ribosomal RNA (253 nucleotides) under uncultured bacterium. Its description in RNAcentral is "partial 16S ribosomal RNA". It matches the Rfam family "Bacterial small subunit ribosomal RNA", at positions 524 to 776 of the family's 1533-position model. The record is from RNAcentral.